This is a long non-coding RNA of Malaya genurostris, 488 nucleotides long. RefSeq lists it as uncharacterized. The transcript has 3 exons. The record is from RefSeq and is a predicted model, not a curated record. Lineage: Eukaryota; Metazoa; Arthropoda; Insecta; Diptera; Culicidae.
UGAUCGCAUCGGUGAUCAUAAUUUGCAUGACAGCUUUUCUGUUGACUGAAGGAUCUAAUUUUGUCGCCAUUUUCUCUGCCUUCAGCUAUCUGAUUGCCAUGGUCUGGCAAAUUUUUUUGUACUGUCUUGCGGGAAAUGAUUUUACGUAUUCGACAGAUAAAUUGUCGGAAAGAGCAAUGUUCAGUAACUACGUAUGUUUCAAUCGAACCACUGCUAAAGCUUUUCUUUUCUUUUUGACCAGGUACGAGCUACCCUUAUUUCUACACCUAACCAAACGAUUAACGUGACAUUCUAAUUUCAGAAUAAAGCGUCAGUCGGUUUUCAAGAUUGGUUUUAUUUUGCAAUUCACUCUAUCAUUUUCUAGUUUCAUUUUGAUCUUGAAAACAUCAUAUUCAUACUUUGCUGUUCUGAAUAGCACUCGCAAAUAAUUAUUAUUCGAGAUUCAAUAAUAACUCAACGCAUGUAUAAAAGUCGUAACUGAUUUGUCA